This 74-nucleotide transfer RNA is filed under the name Dethiobacter sp. RNAcentral's name for it is "tRNA-Gly". It matches the Rfam family "tRNA". Rfam says of the family: Transfer RNA (tRNA) molecules are approximately 80 nucleotides in length. The record is from RNAcentral. Lineage: Bacteria; Bacillati; Bacillota; Dethiobacteria; Dethiobacterales; Dethiobacteraceae.
GCGGGUGUAGCUCAAUGGUAGAGCGCUAGCCUUCCAAGCUAGUCACGUGGGUUCGAUUCCCAUCACCCGCUCCA